UUCAUAUCUUUUUCUUUUAUCAAACCUAAUUCCGCAUCCUCGACACCCAAACCCUAAAUUUCAAAUUUUUUCUUCCUCAGACGCAACAAGGAAUACUGAAAGCUAUCAAACUAUCAAAGGUUCAAUCAUCACGUCUUCGUCUCUAAUCUAUUGCAAAAGCAGGUCGAUUUCUUUUGCCAUCAAAGACCCAUAAGAAUUGACACACGAUUCUGGUCUGUCAUUCAUCUUCAAUCAAAGGUAUUUUCCAUAAUCUUUCUUUUCAAAGAUUUCAAUUUUAAUUAUUUAUCUUUUCAAAGCUUUCAAUUUUAAUUUUUUUGGUAUUUUUGUGUCCCCGAUUUGAAAAACGUAUCACUUUAUUCAUAGAUUUCCAGAUUUAAAAAUUUCUUAAACUUUUCUGAAGUACACAUCAUUACUUUUUUUAGGACACGGUAGUAUGCUUAAUAGUUUUUUUAUCUUGAUGGUUUGGGGGUAAAUUUUAUUGGGAAAUUUUGAUUAUAUUUAUACUAAAGAUGUAUCAGAAUAAAGAUAAAGAUGUCAUUCUGCAAAGCUCAUGUAUUGCAAGUGUUUUCAUGGCAACCUAUUAUUUAUAAUGACACUGUUGAUAUGGGAUGGACAACUUGAUGAUAUGUGCAUUCACAUGGCAAACUUUUGCGGUGCUCGCACUAUCCAAACUCUACCGAAACUCUGUUGGAGUUUGAGCAACAGAUAUAUCGGUAAGACCCAUUAUUGUUUCGAUCAGUUCUCACUUUUAGUUUUUAACUUGAGCAUACUAACUGUCUACUAUAAUUAUAAAUUUAGAUUGCAUAUUCUGCACCCAUAUUAUUAAGUUGCGAAGAUUUGUUUUUAGAUAUGCAUAGUAUUUUGGUUCUUUGUUAGCCCAUAUUCUUAGUGGUAGUUUCUGUGUCAGCUUAAUGAGCCGUAUGGGAUGUCUUGGGUCUCAAUAAUGAUGAAAGCAUAAAGAAUAGGCAUAUUUUUGGAUUAACUUAGGACUGACUUUUGGUUUUUGUAGCAUGUCUCAUAAUGAGUGGAAAGACAUAAAGAAUACAUAUAUUGACCGUGAUGAGUAUCUACUUGCAAUGAAGUAAUUACUCCUGUUAAAUAUGUCAUGGAGGUUUUCUACUUUUAAUAUAUGUAUUUUAGAAAUGUUUAGAGAAAAAUUUGACAAGUUUUUAUGAUUUACAAUGGAAUGUAAUAUUACCUAUUUUUGUUCU
Molecule: long non-coding RNA, 1211 nt
Organism: Vicia villosa (hairy vetch)
Lineage: Eukaryota; Viridiplantae; Streptophyta; Magnoliopsida; Fabales; Fabaceae
Exons: 2
Source: RefSeq, a predicted model, not a curated record